GAUCCUGGCUCAGGACGAACGCUGGCGGCGUGCCUAACACAUGCAAGUCGAACGGAAGUUAGAGCUUCGGUUUUAACUUUAGUGGCGAACGGGUGAGUAACGCGUGAGGAACCUGCCUUUCAGUGGGGGACAACAGUUGGAAACGACUGCUAAUACCGCAUGACACUUUUGAGGGACAUCCCUUAAAAGUCAAAGCUUUAUGUGCUGAAAGAUGGCCUCGCGUCUGAUUAGCUAGUUGGUGAGGUAACGGCUCACCG
RNAcentral lists this ribosomal RNA (257 nucleotides) under uncultured bacterium. Its description in RNAcentral is "partial 16S ribosomal RNA". It matches the Rfam family "Bacterial small subunit ribosomal RNA", at positions 15 to 270 of the family's 1533-position model. The record is from RNAcentral.